Cyclopterus lumpus (lumpfish) is the source of this 321-nucleotide long non-coding RNA. RefSeq lists it as uncharacterized. The record is from RefSeq and is a predicted model, not a curated record. Lineage: Eukaryota; Metazoa; Chordata; Actinopteri; Perciformes; Cyclopteridae. The transcript has 4 exons.
GUGAUCCUCUGAUGGGGUUUGGCCUGCAUGUCCCCGAGCCGCAUCCGCUCACACUGGGGGUGAGUCUCCACCCACUGGACAGGACCAGAACAGAAGAGCAUUGCCCACAACUCUACAGUAUUGGAGUAGUGGCAGGAGACUGAUAACUCAAAGCCUUGACAAAUGAAGAGUUAGGGUUAUGAAAACAUCACAGACCACAAAGUGUCAUCGUUAACAAUAUACAGCAACCAGCCUCUAACGCCAUGGGGUCAAAGGGCUGGCCUGUCCUCCGGACUUCUUCUAACAUGGGAUAAAUCACUUCCUGCCAGAACAGCUGGUGUG